This 440-nucleotide ribosomal RNA is filed under the name uncultured bacterium. Its description in RNAcentral is "partial 16S ribosomal RNA". It matches the Rfam family "Bacterial small subunit ribosomal RNA", at positions 338 to 795 of the family's 1533-position model. The record is from RNAcentral.
CCUACGGGAGGCAGCAGUGGGGAAUAUUGCACAAUGGUGGGAACCCUGAUGCAGCGACGCCGCGUGAGCGAUGAAGGUUUUCGGUAUGUAAAGCCCUAUCAGCAGGGGAGCAAAUGACGGUACGUGACCACGCAUCCCCGGCUAACUACGUGCCAGCAGCCGCGGCAAUACGGAGGAGGCAAGCGUUAUCCGGAUUUACUGGGUGUAAAGGGGGCGUAGGCGGCGAUGCAAGCCAGAAGUGAAAGCCCGGGGCUCAACCCCGGGACUGCAUUUGGAACUGUAUGGCUGGAGUGCAGGAGGGGCAGGCGGAAUUCCUAGUGUAGCGGUGAAAUGCGUAGAUAUUAGGAGGAACACCAGUGGCGAAGGCGGCCUGCUGGACGGUGACUGACGUUGAGGCACGAAAGCGUGGGGAGCAAACAGGAUUAGAUACCCCAGUAGUC